RNA transcript from Lolium rigidum, 1441 nucleotides. RefSeq lists it as uncharacterized. The transcript is spliced from 10 exons. Lineage: Eukaryota; Viridiplantae; Streptophyta; Magnoliopsida; Poales; Poaceae. The record is from RefSeq and is a predicted model, not a curated record.
GGAGGAACGGUCAAGAAUCGCGGUAGGAGGGGCGGGAUCCGGGGAGGACAUGCGGGAUCUGGUCAUGCCGGUUCUCCUCUGCGUUGCUGCUUGGGCUGCUCCCUCCUCGUGGCUGCCUCGUCUCCCCCAGGCUUUGGAAGAUUUGGAUGGAGCACAGGUCGGGAUUGGUGGUGCACAGGCGAGCUCGGACAGGGGCGGGCACAGGCGAGCUCCAGCUACAGUAGGGAGCGUCACAUCCCAAUAUCUACCAGGGAUCUGCUGCAGACACUGUAGGCUUUGGAAGAUUUGAGCACAAGUCGGGAUGCUCCCGUUCAUCUUUGGUUGUUUCCUUUCCCCUCUCUCUACGUUUGGAAUCCCAUGCCAAAAUCGAAGGUCACAACCCCCAGCGAUGCAGCAAAGCUAUCCUCCCGUGGGCCUUUCUUCCAAGAUUUUGGGAUGGGCUGUGUCUUGCUUGACAUGGGAGACGUUCACAUAAUGAGAGCUGCUCAAGGAUGCUUCUAUCCUCAACAUGAUUCCUGGAUACAACACAAUAUCAGCAGCAUAUGCAUCUUGUAGUCUUUGUUCUUUUUUUUUUAUGAAAACUUCAGUAGUAUUCCUCUAUAUGCAGCUAUUUUUUUAGUUAAUGCUAAUUAUGACUAAAAUCUUAGCACAAAAUGCUUUUAUAUACAUCUAUAUUUAUCUAUAGCUGAUAUCAGGUUUUUACAAUCAGAACAUGUAUUUGCUGCAGUCCAACAUAAAAGGCGAGGGUGCGCCGCGAGCCCUCACCGCCAAGCCGUGCGAGGAGCCUAGGCUAGACCAAUGCUGGAAUAGGGUCACACUUUUGUUUGGCACGCAGACAGAUGCUAUUUUUUCGGUUGCUUCGAUGUGUUAUAAUGGUUUCUCUGGUGCGACACGAAUAUUUCUAUUGCAUAUGUACUCAGUGGUAUUCCAGGCAGAUCAGCACCGACACAGUCUUCGCCAAGGCUAGGCGAGUUAUGAGAAUGAUGUGAGAUGGAAUUGAAGGUGAGCAAACAAUUGAAGCUUGUCAAAAAUGUAUGUACAGUGUGGCCCUCUAGCUAUAAAGUGAGGUGGAAAGCUAAGGUGAGCAGAAAAUCAAAAUUACUUUCCAGACCAUUGAGGACUAUGAGAAUAUGAGUACAUCCAACAGAAACACAUUUUCAAGUCUGCCUACUUGGUGAGUGCAACGUCAACAGUGCCGCCAUUGUCUGACACCCUCAACACUGGCUGGAUGCGCUCAAUGUAGAAUUAUGUCAAUAAGCAGUCUGUCGUUGAUGGCCCACAUGAAUCGGCUCCUAAUAGCACGGAACCUGGACAACAACUGUUGAGUGGUUUGGUGCUAAGAGUGAGUACAAUGUUCUUGUUAUGUUCGUGUUGGGACCAAGCCUGGAACAUUUUUUCUGCUCUUGCAACAGAAAACUGUCGCUCAAAACUGUGGUUAUGC